GUUGUGAGUCUAACAUUUGGAAAGUGUUGUGAUCAGUUCUGCGAACGCGUUUCUCACUUGGUAAAACUUGUAAUGAAGAUCUGCAUAUUUUAAGAUUAAACUAAGUUCUGUUAAAAAAAUAAUUUUUAAAGUUCAUGAAUAAACCAGUUUUUUAUUAUCAGUUAUAGUUUCUUUUUUAAUUCCUGAUUAUUAGACUUAAUUAAUAGGCUGAUGUAUAUACGUAGUUAAUGGCUGAAUCACGUCCUACGGAAACGGUACAUGAAACAGUGACUGUCGAACAGUUUGUUGAUGACAAGCACAAUGAAGAUGAGGGUCAGGUGGUCAGACUUAAACUUAAGAAACCCAAGCCGGACAAAAAGGUGUCGUGGAGAAGUGAUACAGUGGACAAUGAGCAUUUAAACAAAAAGAAGUCUAAAUGCUGCUGUAUUUAUAAAAAGCCACAAAAAUUUGGGGAGAGUUCUUCAGAAUCUGAUGAUGAUGAAUGCCAGCAUUGCAGGGGACAUGUAGAAUUAAAGAAGAAACAAGUUCCAACAUCCUCAGGAACAGAAGGUAUAUAUCAGUUCUUAUCAGUCUAACAAUGCUGAUGAUAAGGACUGCCCUUAAUGAUGGCGUAUUGUGAUUGUUAGGAUUCUGGAAUUUUUCAGGGUCAGAUCAGAAAUCAUGAAGAAGCAACAUAAAUACUACAUUACAUGUAAACAUCUGUAACAUUUGUUAUUUGUAGAAAUAUAUUCAAGAUUAAGAAUAUUAAGUAGUAGACUACCUCUAUACUGGCAAAUUUAUAGCACAGCUGUUACUCGUUGGGUAACUUGUAAUUAAGAUAGCUUUUGUUGUAAUCCGGGCAAGAAGUGACUUUUCUGAAUUAUCUCAUCUCAAUGUAAUAUUUGUAUACUAGUAACAGAUCACUCAUGUAUUCAUAGAUAGAGGGUACUUUCUAUAUCAGCUUAUUUAAAAAUAGCUUUCGGUUAUGGUAUUAUUCUUCCAGAAGUAGAUAUUACAACUUUUAAAAAGUUGUAUUAUUACUAUAUUUGUUCCUUAUGAGAACCAUAAUUGUAAAUUAUAUGUGUAGUUUUUUAAUAAUAAUUAAAAUUGUGAAAAAGAUUUUUUUUGAAUUUUUAUUUAAAUAACAAUUUGCAAUAUAUCAGGAUUAUUAUUGUAAACCAAAACUAUCUGAAUAUAUGCAAACAGAUUGACUGUGUGUCAGUUGUAAUGAAUAAUUGUUUUUUUUUCUUUAUUUUUAUCACCCACACUAUCAGUUUAAGUUACUAUUCUUUUAUUGUAUCAUAAUUUCGAAAGAAUAAGUAUUUUGUACUUAACACUAUUAUUUUCCCUCUAUUAAUCAAAUGUAAUUCUUGAUGUAUUUCCAGUACUUGGUAUCUUUAUGCCUAAAUACGUGGAAGUUUAUUUUAUUAAAAAAGUCUAUAUUUACCCAUUGGUUUAUUUCUGUGAAUUUUUAAUAUGAAUUUCAGACCUUUAAAGCUGUAUGGGUGAGAACUAACAUUGCUCAAAACUGCAAAUUCACAACCGAUCAUAAUUUGGGUUAUCUUAGCUAGUGUGACUGUAUACAUUUUGAUUUCACAAAAGUGUUUAAUUAGAAAAAUGAUUUGUUUUGUAUUCACCUAGUCAGUAUUAUUGUAAGAAUUGCAGGACUAAUAAAUCAUGUAGGAUUAAUAAAUACAUAAAACAAGCGACUCAUACUCUGACUAUUUUUGAAAUGUAAGCCUUCGUUAAUAAGGAUAAACACCUCCGAUUUCAAAUCCAUUUGGUUUACAUGAUUUUUAUCGCAAAUGUUAGGUCUAUUGGUAGACCUUCCUUCUGGUAGUAAAUUAGUAUUUAUUGUCAUGUAA
This 1844-nucleotide unclassified non-coding RNA is filed under the name Limulus polyphemus (Atlantic horseshoe crab). RNAcentral describes it as "protein phosphatase 1 regulatory subunit 11-like, transcript variant X3". The record is from RNAcentral. Lineage: Eukaryota; Metazoa; Arthropoda; Merostomata; Xiphosura; Limulidae.